RNAcentral lists this unclassified non-coding RNA (19 nucleotides) under Mus musculus (house mouse). Its description in RNAcentral is "oocyte_clustered_small_RNA10881". The record is from RNAcentral. Lineage: Eukaryota; Metazoa; Chordata; Mammalia; Rodentia; Muridae.
UCCAGAAAGGGGAGUCAGA